UACGGGGGGUGCGAGCGUUGUCCGGAAUCACUGGGCGUAAAGGGCGCGUAGGUGGUUUGAUAAGGGUGUGGUGAAAGCCCGGGGCUCAACCCCGGGUCUGCCGUGCCGACUGUCAAACUCGAGGGCUGUAGAGGCAGACGGAAUUCCGGGUGUAGUGGUGGAAUGCGUAGAGAUCCGGAGGAACACCAGCGGCGAAGGCGGCAUCCUGGACUGGUCCUGACACUCAUGAGCGAAAGCGUGGGGAGCGAUCCGG
RNAcentral lists this ribosomal RNA (253 nucleotides) under uncultured bacterium. RNAcentral describes it as "partial 16S ribosomal RNA". It matches the Rfam family "Bacterial small subunit ribosomal RNA", at positions 524 to 776 of the family's 1533-position model. The record is from RNAcentral.